Molecule: transfer RNA, 73 nt
Filed under: Ovis aries (sheep)
Lineage: Eukaryota; Metazoa; Chordata; Mammalia; Artiodactyla; Bovidae
Rfam family: tRNA
About the family: Transfer RNA (tRNA) molecules are approximately 80 nucleotides in length. Their secondary structure includes four short double-helical elements and three loops (D, anti-codon, and T loops).
Source: Rfam by way of RNAcentral
UCCCUGGUGGCUCAGACAGUAAAGCAUCUGCCUACAAUGCAGGUAGACCCGGGUUCGACCCCUGGGUUGGGAA